UCUGCAGAGCCUCCCAGGAGCAGAGCUCUGACAGCUGCUGUCCUUCGGUGUCUCUGCUGGU
MicroRNA precursor from Gallus gallus (chicken), 61 nucleotides. The record is from Ensembl. Lineage: Eukaryota; Metazoa; Chordata; Aves; Galliformes; Phasianidae.